RNAcentral lists this long non-coding RNA (1892 nucleotides) under Marmota monax (woodchuck). Lineage: Eukaryota; Metazoa; Chordata; Mammalia; Rodentia; Sciuridae. The record is from RNAcentral.
AUCCCCAGCCCAAUCAGGAAAGAUUUUGUAGAGAGAAAUUUAAUUGUGUUAAAAUUGAAGUAGCAGUCAGUAUUUCCAUGGUGAAAAUUGAAGACAUAAUGGAGAACAUUAAUUUGUUGCUAUCUCGCACUUACUUUUGUAGGAAAUCAUCUUAUGGAGAAAAGCUCCUGAAAAACUGAGGAAACAGAGAACAAACUUUCACCAGCGAUUUGAGUCUCCAGAGUCACAGGCAUCUGCUGAACAGCCUGAAAUGUGAACUGAAAAGAAGGGAAAAAAAACAAAAAACUGUAACUGUUGAAAUUAAGUUCAGCAGGUUAAAGAUGGUUGCAGCUUGUAGGGGCGGGGUGGGGGGAAGCCAAAACUCCAUGCAUAACAGUCUUCCUUUAUCUUACAGUGCUGCAUUUACUUUACAGUAUAACUAAAUGUACGUACCUACAUUUUACAAAGUGCUUUCUUUGAGACACUGGAGAUUUCUUAGGCUGCCCUUAUUUUUUUUUUUUAACUGCACACUUUGAUGAUGAGCACUCAGAUAUGCAUCAGCAUAAACAUUAAAGAUUUUCAUGCAGGUAGGCUGGGAUUUGUAAUUUUGCUUUCUUUCUGCAUAAUGUUGAUUAUAAAUCUUUUUCUCCUUUUUUUUUCUUUUUUGCUAAUGAUUACCUCUUACUCUCUCCAUGCAAAAAAUCAAAUAUUUUGUGUUCAAAUAAAACUAGAAAACCUGAUUAGCCCUUACAUCCUGCAAAGACUUAAAAUAUAGCAUCUCGGUGUUUUUGAGAAUUCCAUUUGUUUUUAUGUAUGUAUUUGAGAAAUGUAUAUGAAUUUUUUCAUUGUAGGUGUUUCUGGGUCUGCCAUUUCAUGGCUUCUUGUGUUUUAUCCUCUUUGAAGUCUUUUAUAGUAUGAAUGUAAAAUUUUUUCCCAAGGGAUGAGAUGGCUUUUCAUUUUGGCACUUGUGUCCCACUGCCUCAUAUUAAGUAACCAUUUUGCUACAACUUUCCAGCAGUACUACCAUAUGUGUUCUGCAGUGUGGAGUUGAUGUAUGUUGGCAUUUUAGAACUUGCUAAAACUAUAUGAAUUUUUCCAUAAAUACUUUGAAACAUAUGUGUAUAUAUAUAUAUUUUUAAAUUUAAAGAGUCUUUUUGCCACAUUUAUGCAAAUAUCAUUUUCUUGACUUUACAAAUUUGUUCUUUUUACUUUUCAGUGGAAAAUUUGGGGGACUCAGGAGGAACUUGUGAAGCAUGUAGCUAACCCAGAUAUGCACAGUUUCAUGUUUGUUAAACUGGAGCUUUGGCUAGUUCAAACUCCAUUAAACUUCACCAGUCUGUUUUAAUUUUUUUUUUAAACACUAAAGUCAUUUGUUCAACAUCUCUUAAAAGAAGGUUGCAGUUAUCUGAUCAUAUAUAUGGGAUCUGAUCUCAAAUACACUAAAUGUGGAGCGUGGGAACCAAAACAAAGCCUCCUAUGUGAAAACUAUUUUCACUUAUGGUUCAUUGGUUUUUGUACCAAUAUUUAAAAAUACUUCAGUGCAAGUUUUGUCAGUUAACCUUACUUUAUGAGUAAGCUAAAUAAUCCAAAUUACAUUUCUUUAAACCUGUUUUACUACUAUGGCACUUUGAUAAAAUGGUCAGUAACCAACUUUAUUUACUGGCCAAAGGUUCCAUGUACCAUGUGCUGGAGCAUCUAUUUUAAAUGGGGGUAUCUAUGAAUGGUAACGUUUUCCUUCAUGUAAGUGCCUGUUCAGAGUUUCAAAAUUUAAAAAUGCCAAAUAUUUUCAUGGUCACUUGCAUGUAGUAAUCUAGAAAAUAUUCAAAGAUUUUGAAAACCAAGUUGUAUUUAACCAGCCUCAAAUUGUGCAACCAUGUAUAAUAAAGAAUUUGAAACAGAAACUGAGCUUGCAG